Long non-coding RNA from Cynocephalus volans (Philippine flying lemur), 676 nucleotides. RefSeq lists it as uncharacterized. NCBI's taxonomy places the organism in Eukaryota, Metazoa, Chordata, Mammalia, Dermoptera, Cynocephalidae. The record is from RefSeq and is a predicted model, not a curated record. The transcript has 3 exons.
GCUGUUCGCUGGUCUCACGCGCGCGCGGGGAAGUGGCGGAGUCCGUGCGCGGAGCCCAGGAGCCUGUGGAAGCGCAGCUUGUCCCGGAAGGCAGGCGGUCUGGGAAGGGAUUCGUUUCCGCGCAAUAAGAGUACUUUCUAGAGAAGACCGGCCCCUUUUGUCCUGGGACGUAAGCAGCGAGGCGACCUGACUCGUGCACGCAGCGAGGAUUGAUGCAGCUGCAUCACCUGUCUCCGCCGUGCGCGGGACAGGUGAGUUCUGAGCCACCCAGAACACCGCGGCUCGGCUCAGCCCCAGUGCUCCGGUUCAGGGCUACAGGAUGCGAGUCCUUUAACGAAACGGAUUUGCUUCUCGUGACGCCCUUGAAGAGACGCCUUCCUCCACCGCUGCACUGCAGAGACGUGGGCGCCGCCACCCCCACCCCACCUGCGCCUCCUCCAGGAAGCCUUGCUCAGGGCAAGGAUUGUGACAUCCCAGGUCACUCUACAGCUACAAAGAGGCACUUGUGGACACUCGUCACUUGUUGGGAUGCGUCAUGGCUUCUGAUCACUCCAGGUGCUGCAGUGAUGGGAACGCCUCAGACAGUGUUUCUGCUUCCAGCAUUAUUCACAAUAGCCAAGAUAUGAAAUCAACCCAAGUGUCUUGUUGACAGGUAAAUAAAUAAAGACAAUGUGGC